UUUGGUGGCGAUAGCAAAGAGGUCACACCCGUUCCCAUUCCGAACACGGAAGUUAAGCUCUUUAGCGCCGAUGGUAGUUGGGGGUUUCCCCCUGUGAGAGUAGGACGUUGCCAAGC
RNAcentral lists this ribosomal RNA (116 nucleotides) under Peribacillus loiseleuriae. Lineage: Bacteria; Bacillati; Bacillota; Bacilli; Caryophanales; Bacillaceae. The record is from RNAcentral. RNAcentral also lists the same sequence under 1 other name.